Molecule: long non-coding RNA, 594 nt
Filed under: Solanum tuberosum (potato)
Lineage: Eukaryota; Viridiplantae; Streptophyta; Magnoliopsida; Solanales; Solanaceae
Description: long non-coding RNA (STUB_LNC006861)
Source: RNAcentral
CCUUCCCCAUAUAUUCCCCUGCUCCAACCUCUGUUUUUGCUCUUUCAUAUUUCACUUUCAGAAUUCAUAAAAAAUCAUCAGAAAUGGAAAUUCCGGCGACGAACAAUAAGAUGAACGGACGGAAAAUAAGUGUCCCACCGAGACGAGGUGAAGUUAAAGUUGCGAUUUUUAAGAAACUGUUGAAAUCAGUUGUCAUGAUGAUGGGCGAUUUGGGGAAGAAAAUUGGAAAUUGCCUCAUUAGUCCAGAUGAAGAUGAAGCUUAAUAAAUAUUGAUUCUUAUCAUUUUCUUAAAAUUCAAUCUUUUUUUGUCCAUUUCCACCUACACAACACAGCUUUAAACUGGAAACUCUCUUACUUACGUAUCUCGGUAUUUAUUUUAGCUACUUUUAGUUUAUUUUUGUUUGCUCUGCACAGUAUAUCAUACUGUUGUACGUACCACUUCACUUCCUUUCUGUUAUGCUAGCAAGAAAUAACAUCUUCUUCUCUUACGUUGAUUAGCUUAUAUACAUACGAGUACUAGUUUUUUGUUAUGUUUAUUAAAUUGUUCUAAAGUUAUUUUAGUACUAAUUAACUAGGACUAGUUGAUUUUUCUUU